Molecule: ribosomal RNA, 292 nt
Filed under: uncultured bacterium
Lineage: Bacteria
Description: partial 16S ribosomal RNA
Rfam family: Bacterial small subunit ribosomal RNA
Source: RNAcentral
GUGCCAGCCGCCGCGGUAAUACGUAGGGUCCGAGCGUUGUCCGGAGUUACUGGGCGUAAAGGGCGCGCAGGUGGCGGUGUUGGCCCGGCGUGAAAGCCCCCGGCUCAACCGGGGAGGGUCGUCGGGGACCGCACCGCUUGAGGGCGGUAGGGGCUGGUGGAAUGCCUGGUGUAGUGGUGAAAUGCGUAGAGAUCAGGCGGAACACCCGUAGCGAAGGCGGCCAGCUGGGCCGUCCCUGACACUGAGGCGCGAAGGCGUGGGGAGCGAACGGGAUUAGAUACCCUCGUAGUCC